RNAcentral lists this long non-coding RNA (846 nucleotides) under Ananas comosus (pineapple). Its description in RNAcentral is "long non-coding RNA (ACOM_LNC024278)". The record is from RNAcentral. Lineage: Eukaryota; Viridiplantae; Streptophyta; Magnoliopsida; Poales; Bromeliaceae.
AUACUUUCUCACUUUAGUACCCUGUGGUUUAAAAUGUACAAGUUAGUACCUUAUGGUUUCAUUUAUCCCUUUUCAUUAUCCAUUUCACUAAUUUUUUUCGUUAAAUCAGUGACAAAGUUAAAAUUAAGGGUACUAAAGUGAAUAUUCGAUAAACUUAGGUAGGGUAUCUAAAGUUUUUUUUGUAUAUAAUUUAAUGAAAUAUUAACGGAGAAAAAUAAAUCAGUGACAAAAUUAAAACUAAAGGGUACUAAAGUAAAUAUUCGAUAAACUUAGGUAGGGUAUCUGAAGUUUUUUGUAUAUAAUUUAACAACAUAUUAACAGAGGAGCCGACGAAAAGAAAAAAAAUGAAACCAUACGGUACUAAAUUGAUGCAUUUUAAACCACAUAGUACUAAAGUAAUAAAGUGCGAAACCACAUGAUACUAAAUUGAUACACUUUAAACUAUAGGAUAUAAAGUUAAAAAGUGCGAAACCACAUGAGUGGUAUUUGAAGCUUUUCCUAUUAAUUAUUAUUAUCUAUGUUAGUUACAUUUUAAUUAGAUAAAUUGAUUUCUAUUAAAUCUAACAUUAAAUCUAACAUCUAUACACAUACAUUAUUUCUCAUAAGCUUUUGCCACGUGGCAGCAUCAUAGUCUCUCCUUCUCAAAAUUUCUACUCUCCAAUCAUUGCGACUGCUAGCCUUUCUCGUAACGUCUGCCACUUCGGCUUUCCGUCUCAUUAAUUCCUUCCCUAUAACAGCUGCCUCUUCAGCUUUCCGUCUCAUUAAUUCAUUCUCUGUAAUGUCACUGCUUCGACUUCCUACUUCAUUAGUUGCCCGAGGAGCCCAUAGGCACAGCUACGGCAUCUU